Molecule: ribosomal RNA, 377 nt
Filed under: uncultured organism
Description: partial 16S ribosomal RNA
Rfam family: Bacterial small subunit ribosomal RNA
Source: RNAcentral
GAACCGGUCGAACGUUAUUCGGGAAUCACUGGGGCUUAAAGGGUGCGUAGGCGGCUUGACAAGUUGGGGGGUGUGAAAUCCCUCGGCUCAACCGAGGGAAUUGCGCCCAAAACUGUCAGGCUAGAGGGAGAUAGAGGUGAGCGGAACUAAUGGUGGAGCGGUGAAAUGCGUUGAUAUCAUUAGGAACACCUGUGGCGAAAGCGGCUCACUGGAUCUUUUCUGACGCUGAGGCACGAAAGCUAGGGUAGCGAACGGGAUUAGAUACCCCGGUAGUCCUAGCUGUAAACGAUGAGCACUGGAUUGGAGGCUCCUCCAUAGGCUUCCGGUCGAAGCGAAAGUGUUAAGUGCUCCGCCUGGGGAGUAUGGUCGCAAGGCUG